AGCAGCCGCGGUAAUUCCAGCUCCAAUAGCGUAUAUUAAAGUUGUUGCAGUUAAAAAGCUCGUAGUUGAACUUCGAAAUUUGUUCAUUGGUCAGGCUUAAACUGUCUGUACUGGUGUGACGAAUUUUUACCUUCCGAGGAAUCUUUAUGCCAUUAAUUUGGUGUAGGAGGGAAUCAGGACUGUUACUUUGAAAAAAUUAGAGUGUUCAAAGCAGGCUUUUAACGUCUGAAUACAUUAGCAUGGAAUAAUAAAAUAGGACGGUUUGGUUCUAUUUUGUUGGUUUCUAGGAUCACCGUAAUGAUUAAUAGGGAUAGUUGGGGGCAUUAGUAUUCAAUUGUCAGAGGUGAAAUUCUUGGAUUUAUUGAAGACUAACUAUUGCGAAAGCAUUUGCCAAGGAUGUUUUCAUUAAUCAAGAACGAAAGUUAGGGGAUCGAAGACGAUCAGAUACCGUCGUAGUCUUAACCAUAAACUAUGCCGACUAGGGAUCGGACGAAGUUAAUUUUUAAAUGACUCGUUCGGCACCUUACG
Molecule: ribosomal RNA, 528 nt
Filed under: uncultured Diversisporaceae
Lineage: Eukaryota; Fungi; Glomeromycota; Glomeromycetes; Diversisporales
Description: SSU rRNA
Rfam family: Eukaryotic small subunit ribosomal RNA
Source: RNAcentral